Molecule: ribosomal RNA, 497 nt
Filed under: uncultured bacterium
Lineage: Bacteria
Description: partial 16S ribosomal RNA
Rfam family: Bacterial small subunit ribosomal RNA
Source: RNAcentral
GAUGAACGCUGGCGGCGUGCCUAAUACAUGCAAGUCGAGCGAACGGACGAGAAGCUUGCUUCUCUGAUGUUAGCGGCGGACGGGUGAGUAACACGUGGAUAACCUACCUAUAAGACUGGGAUAACUUCGGGAAACCGGAGCUAAUACCGGAUAAUAUUUUGAACCGCAUGGUUCAAAAGUGAAAGACGGUCUUGCUGUCACUUAUAGAUGGAUCCGCGCUGCAUUAGCUAGUUGGUAAGGUAACGGCUUACCAAGGCAACGAUGCAUAGCCGACCUGAGAGGGUGAUCAGCCACACUGGAACUGAGACACGGUCCAGACUCCUACGGGAGGCAGCAGUAGGGAAUCUUCCGCAAUGGGCGAAAGCCUGACGGAGCAACGCCGCGUGAGUGAUGAAGGUCUUCGGAUCGUAAAACUCUGUUAUUAGGGAAGAACAUAUGUGUAAGUAACUGUGCACAUCUUGACGGUACCUAAACAGAAAGCCACGGCUAACUACGUG